RNAcentral lists this ribosomal RNA (1260 nucleotides) under Campylobacter coli. RNAcentral describes it as "bacterial SSU rRNA". It matches the Rfam family "Bacterial small subunit ribosomal RNA", at positions 256 to 1533 of the family's 1533-position model. Lineage: Bacteria; Pseudomonadati; Campylobacterota; Epsilonproteobacteria; Campylobacterales; Campylobacteraceae. The record is from RNAcentral.
GGUAAUGGCUUACCAAGGCUAUGACGCUUAACUGGUCUGAGAGGAUGAUCAGUCACACUGGAACUGAGACACGGUCCAGACUCCUACGGGAGGCAGCAGUAGGGAAUAUUGCGCAAUGGGGGAAACCCUGACGCAGCAACGCCGCGUGGAGGAUGACACUUUUCGGAGCGUAAACUCCUUUUCUUAGGGAAGAAUUCUGACGGUACCUAAGGAAUAAGCACCGGCUAACUCCGUGCCAGCAGCCGCGGUAAUACGGAGGGUGCAAGCGUUACUCGGAAUCACUGGGCGUAAAGGGCGCGUAGGCGGAUUAUCAAGUCUCUUGUGAAAUCUAAUGGCUUAACCAUUAAACUGCUUGGGAAACUGAUAGUCUAGAGUGAGGGAGAGGCAGAUGGAAUUGGUGGUGUAGGGGUAAAAUCCGUAGAUAUCACCAAGAAUACCCAUUGCGAAGGCGAUCUGCUGGAACUCAACUGACGCUAAGGCGCGAAAGCGUGGGGAGCAAACAGGAUUAGAUACCCUGGUAGUCCACGCCCUAAACGAUGUACACUAGUUGUUGGGGUGCUAGUCAUCUCAGUAAUGCAGCUAACGCAUUAAGUGUACCGCCUGGGGAGUACGGUCGCAAGAUUAAAACUCAAAGGAAUAGACGGGGACCCGCACAAGCGGUGGAGCAUGUGGUUUAAUUCGAAGAUACGCGAAGAACCUUACCUGGGCUUGAUAUCCUAAGAACCUUUUAGAGAUAAGAGGGUGCUAGCUUGCUAGAACUUAGAGACAGGUGCUGCACGGCUGUCGUCAGCUCGUGUCGUGAGAUGUUGGGUUAAGUCCCGCAACGAGCGCAACCCACGUAUUUAGUUGCUAACGGUUCGGCCGAGCACUCUAAAUAGACUGCCUUCGUAAGGAGGAGGAAGGUGUGGACGACGUCAAGUCAUCAUGGCCCUUAUGCCCAGGGCGACACACGUGCUACAAUGGCAUAUACAAUGAGACGCAAUACCGCGAGGUGGAGCAAAUCUAUAAAAUAUGUCCCAGUUCGGAUUGUUCUCUGCAACUCGAGAGCAUGAAGCCGGAAUCGCUAGUAAUCGUAGAUCAGCCAUGCUACGGUGAAUACGUUCCCGGGUCUUGUACUCACCGCCCGUCACACCAUGGGAGUUGAUUUCACUCGAAGCCGGAAUACUAAACUAGUUACCGUCCACAGUGGAAUCAGCGACUGGGGUGAAGUCGUAACAAGGUAACCGUAGGAGAACCUGCGGUUGGAUCACCUCCUUUCUA